This 253-nucleotide ribosomal RNA is filed under the name uncultured bacterium. RNAcentral's name for it is "partial 16S ribosomal RNA". It matches the Rfam family "Bacterial small subunit ribosomal RNA", at positions 524 to 776 of the family's 1533-position model. The record is from RNAcentral.
UACGUAGGGGGCAAGCGUUGUCCGGAUUUAUUGGGCGUAAAGAGCGUGUAGGCGGCCAGGUAGGUCUGCUGUGAAAACUCGAGGCUUAACCUCGAGCUGUCGGCGGAAACCAUCUGGCUAGAGUCCGGAAGAGGAGAAUGGAAUUCCCGGUGUAGCAGUGAAAUGCGUAGAUAUCGGGAGGAACAUCCGUGGCGAAGGCGGCCACCUGGACCAGCACUGACACUGAGGCACGAAAGCGUGGGGAGCAAACAGG